This 490-nucleotide ribosomal RNA is filed under the name Paenibacillus tundrae. RNAcentral's name for it is "bacterial SSU rRNA". It matches the Rfam family "Bacterial small subunit ribosomal RNA", at positions 50 to 520 of the family's 1533-position model. The record is from RNAcentral. Lineage: Bacteria; Bacillati; Bacillota; Bacilli; Caryophanales; Paenibacillaceae.
UAUACUGCAGUCCGAGCGGACUUGAAGAGAAGCUUGCUUCUCUGAUGGUUAGCGGCGGACGGGUGAGUAACACGUAGGCAACCUGCCCUCAAGUUUGGGACAACUACCGGAAACGGUAGCUAAUACCGAAUAGUUGUUUUCUUCUCCUGAAGAGAACUGGAAAGACGGAGCAAUCUGUCACUUGGGGAUGGGCCUGCGGCGCAUUAGCUAGUUGGUGGGGUAACGGCUCACCAAGGCGACGAUGCGUAGCCGACCUGAGAGGGUGAUCGGCCACACUGGGACUGAGACACGGCCCAGACUCCUACGGGAGGCAGCAGUAGGGAAUCUUCCGCAAUGGGCGAAAGCCUGACGGAGCAAUGCCGCGUGAGUGAUGAAGGUUUUCGGAUCGUAAAGCUCUGUUGCCAGGGAAGAACGCUUGGGAGAGUAACUGCUCUCAAGGUGACGGUACCUGAGAAGAAAGCCCCGGCUAACUACGUGCCAGCAGCCGCGG